AGAGCGAACGCUGGCGGCAGGCCUAACACAUGCAAGUCGAACGGACCCUUCGGGGUUAGUGGCGGACGGGUGAGUAACACGUGGGAACGUGCCUUUAGGUUCGGAAUAGCUCCUGGAAACGGGUGGUAAUGCCGAAUGUGCCCUUCGGGGGAAAGAUUUAUCGCCUUUAGAGCGGCCCGCGUCUGAUUAGCUUGUUGGUGAGGUAAUGGCUCACCAAGGCUACGAUCAGUAGCUGGUCUGAGAGGAUGACCAGCCACAUUGGGACUGAGACACGGCCCAAACUCCUACGGGAGCAGCAGUGGGGAAUCUUGCGCAAUGGGCGAAAGCCUGACGCAGCCAUGCCGCGUGUAUGAUGAAGGUCUUAGGAUUAGUAAAAUACUUUCACCGGUGAAGAUAAUGACUGUAGCCGGAGAAGAAGCCCCGGACUAACUCGUGCCAGCAGCCG
RNAcentral lists this ribosomal RNA (445 nucleotides) under uncultured soil bacterium. RNAcentral describes it as "bacterial SSU rRNA". It matches the Rfam family "Bacterial small subunit ribosomal RNA", at positions 26 to 517 of the family's 1533-position model. The record is from RNAcentral.